RNAcentral lists this ribosomal RNA (298 nucleotides) under uncultured Sphingomonadaceae bacterium. RNAcentral's name for it is "partial 16S ribosomal RNA". It matches the Rfam family "Bacterial small subunit ribosomal RNA", at positions 111 to 426 of the family's 1533-position model. The record is from RNAcentral. Lineage: Bacteria; Pseudomonadati; Pseudomonadota; Alphaproteobacteria; Sphingomonadales; Sphingomonadaceae.
UAACGCGUGGGAAUCUCCCUAAGAGUGGGGAAUAACGAUGGGAAACUGUCGCUAAUACCGCAUACCCCCUUAGGGGGAAAGAUUUAUCGCUGAUAGAUGAGCCCGCGUACGAUUAGCUAGUUGGUGAGGUAAUGGCUCCCCAAGGCUACGAUCGUUAGCUGGUCUGAGAGGAUGAUCAGCCACACUGGGACUGUGACACGGCCCAGACUCCUACGGGAGGCAGCAGUGGGGAAUAUUGGACAAUGGGCGAAAGCCUGAUCCAGCAAUGCCGCGUGAGUGAUGAAGGCCUUAGGGUUGU